Molecule: ribosomal RNA, 193 nt
Filed under: Eunapius fragilis
Lineage: Eukaryota; Metazoa; Porifera; Demospongiae; Spongillida; Spongillidae
Description: partial 28S ribosomal RNA
Rfam family: Eukaryotic large subunit ribosomal RNA
Source: RNAcentral
CUGGACCUCAGCUCAGGCGUGACUACCCGCUGAAUUUAAGCAUAUCAAUAAGCGGAGGAAAAGAAACCAACAGGGAUUCCCCCAGUAACGGCGAGCGAAGCGGGAAUAGCUCGAGCCUUAAAUCUCCGGCGAACAGCCGGCGAAUUGUAGCCGAGAGAGGCACCUGCGCUCGGUAGUCGGUCGGCCAAAGUUG